Molecule: RNA transcript, 1101 nt
Organism: Magnolia sinica
Lineage: Eukaryota; Viridiplantae; Streptophyta; Magnoliopsida; Magnoliales; Magnoliaceae
Gene name: aspartate--tRNA ligase, chloroplastic/mitochondrial-like
Exons: 6
Source: RefSeq, a predicted model, not a curated record
GUUCAGGGUUUUCCGAAAUAUCUGCUGAUUUAUCGGAGGCAGCAAUAGCUCACUGCCAAUUAAUUGUCGUUUACAAGUAAGUUGCUCACAUCCAUAUUGUCACACAUUUCUUCUCUUCAUACAUGGUGCUGGAGGACCACACUAUCACUACAACAAAAGCAGGUAGAGCUGACGCUUUGGGGGGCUAGUUUUCCGGCGCUAACUAAAAUCAGGCGCCGGAUAACGAUCCCAUAUAAAUACCCUUCUAAAAAGCCCUAACCCUCAUUUUCUUAACCAUGUAAUGUCUAUAAAUCAAUCUAUACAGCUGUAUUCCUGAUCAUGUUAUGUUUUCUCAGGUUCUUCUAGUGGUUCUGCUGCUGUGGUCUCUGCAGGGCAGUCCUGUUGCUCUUGGUGUUGACGGAGGAGCUUUUGGAAGUCCUCAAGUGGAGAUAUGACCAAUCUAUAAUAUCGUGGAGUUUUGUGUGAAUCUAUUACUAAUGAGCAUGUAACUGUCUAUUUAUAGUUGCAUGGCUUCUCUAUAUAAUGUGCUUUUCCCAUUUUGGAAUUUUGUGAUUUCUAGAUGUUUCGGGUCUUAAAACUCCUUAUUUUCUGCUCUUUGUUUAGGCUUUUGCUCUCACACUUGCUCCUGCACAAUGCAAAUGUGCAUGCAUGGGAAAGGGCAUAUGGAUGGGCACACAUGUGAGCACGUCUGUGAUAUAAAUGGUGCCGACUUUAGGAGGAAAGGCACUCGACCUGCAUCGCCUUUUUGUGGAAGUGACAUCUCAUGGUUGUCUUGAAAAGAUGUCAAUACCUUGAUAUACGCCGGUGGCCAAUGCUCUCCAACCUUUUGUUGCAGCAUAGUGUGGUCAAGCUCAUCCGACGGUAUCUAGAGGAUGUGCAUGAUUUUGUGGAGAUUGAGACUACAAUCCUAUCUAGAUCUACACCUGAAGGUGCUCGAGAUUACCUUGUACCUUCACGAGUUCAGGAUUUUAAUCAAUUGUGCCUAAAUUUAGGCCUACAAACUAGCACUUCAGCCUUUUGACGCCACUCGUGCUGGGAGUACCAUAUAGAGGAUUUUAUUUUUUUAAAAAUAAUAAUAUUUAAGACCAUUUUCAAUUUAUU